This 67-nucleotide transfer RNA is filed under the name Prolemur simus (greater bamboo lemur). Its description in RNAcentral is "tRNA-Thr". The record is from RNAcentral. Lineage: Eukaryota; Metazoa; Chordata; Mammalia; Primates; Lemuridae.
GUCCUCGUAGUAUAACUUAAUACCCUGGUCUUGUAAACCAGACAUGGAGAACCCUCUCCCAAGGAUA